UGAAUGUUAAUGGAAUUUGUGCAGAAAACAGCCAAAAGCCCCAUGUAUAGCUUAUAUAGCCAUCCUAGGUCGAGCACAUCAUGCCCAACAUAUGGAAUAAGAGGCUUUGGUAUUACGAUAGUUGUAUGUCCAGCAUAAGCCAUCAACAAUGGAAGCGCAGCAAUUGAUGGUAGGAGUAAUUUCACUCUCCAGGGUACGUCAAGGACAUCAUCCACGAAUCCGAGUAGAGUCAUGAAGCAGAUGCAUGCUAGUGCUGCGUUGUACUCUACAAGCCAAUUGGAAUCUGCUGUGAAGUUAAAAUACUGAAAUAUGAUUGCCAAUACCAAGAAGACUAUCCCAACAACAAUACCUAAUGACUCAGGCACUUUAAUAGUUCCCUGAGGGGUACCCUUCUUGUUAAUAUCAUAACCAAAAAGAUUCCUCCUCAAAACGUAUCGAGAAGCUACAGGAAUCAUCUUAACGGUCAAGAAGAAUCCUGCAAGGCUAAGGGCAGCAUUGAUGAGGAUUGAUCUUUU
Molecule: unclassified non-coding RNA, 515 nt
Filed under: Hevea brasiliensis (rubber tree)
Lineage: Eukaryota; Viridiplantae; Streptophyta; Magnoliopsida; Malpighiales; Euphorbiaceae
Source: RNAcentral